This 308-nucleotide ribosomal RNA is filed under the name uncultured bacterium. Its description in RNAcentral is "bacterial SSU rRNA". It matches the Rfam family "Bacterial small subunit ribosomal RNA", at positions 207 to 507 of the family's 1533-position model. The record is from RNAcentral.
CUACGGCACCACUGAAAGAGGAGCCCGCGGCGCAUUAGCUAGUUGGUGGGGUAAUGGCCCACCAAGGCGACGAUGCGUAGCCGACCUGAGAGGGUGACCGGCCACACUGGGACUGAGACACGGCCCAGACUCCUACGGGAGGCAGCAGUAGGGAAUCUUCGGCAAUGGGCGAAAGCCUGACCGAGCAACGCCGCGUGAGCGAAGAAGGCCUUCGGGUUGUAAAGCUCAGUCACCCGGGAAGAGCGGGCAGGAGAGGGAAUGCUCCUGUCGAGACGGUACCGGGAGAGGAAGCCCCGGCUAACUACGUG